RNAcentral lists this ribosomal RNA (671 nucleotides) under Trichormus doliolum Ind2. RNAcentral describes it as "bacterial SSU rRNA". It matches the Rfam family "Bacterial small subunit ribosomal RNA", at positions 62 to 741 of the family's 1533-position model. Lineage: Bacteria; Bacillati; Cyanobacteriota; Cyanophyceae; Nostocales; Nostocaceae. The record is from RNAcentral.
CCGUCAGAUUCGUCGACACAGACUUUGAUCCGGGCUCCGGCGGGUUCCCAAAUAUAUUGGCGGUCGGGGAGCGGACUCGUGAGAAUCUAGCUUCAGGUCGGGGACACUUUACAGGAAACGGUGGCUAAUACCGGAUGUGCCGAAAGGUGAAAGAUUUAUUGCCUGAAGAUGAGCUCGCGUCUGAUUAGCUAGUUGGUGUGGUAAGAGCGCACCAAGGCGACGAUCAGUAGCUGGUCUGAAAGGAUGAUCAGCCACACUGGGACUGAGACACGGCCCAAACUCCUACGGGAGGCAGCAGUGGGGAAUUUUCCCCAAUGGGCGAAAGCCUGACGGAGCAAUACCGCGUGAGGGAGGAAGGCUCUUGGGUUGUAAACCUCUUUUCUCAGGGAAUAAAAAAAUGAAGGUACCUGAGGAAUAAGCAUCGGCUAACUCCGUGCCAGCAGCCGCGGUAAUACGGAGGAUGCGGGCGUUAUCCGGAACGAUUGGGCGUAAAGCGUCCGCAGGUGGCACUGUAAGUCUGCUGUUAAAGAGCAAGGCUCAACCUUGUAAAGGCAGUGGAAACUACAGACCUAGAGUACGUUCGGGGCAGAGGGAAUUCCUGGUGUAGCGGUAAAAUGCGUAGAGAUCAGAGAAGAACACCGGUGGCGAAACGCUCUGCUAGGCCGUAAACU